This 398-nucleotide ribosomal RNA is filed under the name uncultured cyanobacterium. RNAcentral's name for it is "bacterial SSU rRNA". It matches the Rfam family "Bacterial small subunit ribosomal RNA", at positions 383 to 795 of the family's 1533-position model. Lineage: Bacteria; Bacillati; Cyanobacteriota. The record is from RNAcentral.
CGGACGGGUGAGUAACGCGUGAAGGAUGACGGCCUAUGGGUUGUAAACUUCCUUUUUCAGGGAGGAAUCAAUGACGUGUACCUGAAGAAUAAGCAUCGGCUAACUCCGUGCCAGCAGCCGCGGUAAGACGGAGGAUGCAAGUGUUAUCCGGAAUCACUGGGCGUAAAGCGUCUGUAGGUGGUCAAAUAAGUCAACUGUUAAAUCUUGAAGCUCAACUUCAAAAUCGCAGUCGAAACUAUUAGACUUGAGUAUAGUAGGGGUAAAGGGAAUUUCCAGUGGAGCGGUGAAAUGCGUAGAGAUUGGAAAGAACACCGAUGGCGAAGGCACUUUACUGGGCUAUUACUGACACUCAGAGACGAAAGCUAGGGUAGCAAAUGGGAUUAGAUACCCCAGUAGUC